UACGUAGGGACCGAGCGUUGUCCGGAUUCAUUGGGCGUAAAGAGCUCGUAGGCGGCUGUUCAAGUCGAACGUGAAAACUCGGAGCUCAACUCCGAGCCUGCGUUCGAUACUGGACGGCUAGAGUCUGGUAGGGGGAUCUGGAAUUCCCGGUGUAGCGGUGAAAUGCGUAGAUAUCGGGAGGAACAUCAGUGGCGAAGGCGGCUACCUGGCCCAAUACUGACACUCAGGUGCGACAGCGUGGGGAGCAAACAGG
This 253-nucleotide ribosomal RNA is filed under the name uncultured bacterium. RNAcentral describes it as "partial 16S ribosomal RNA". It matches the Rfam family "Bacterial small subunit ribosomal RNA", at positions 524 to 776 of the family's 1533-position model. The record is from RNAcentral.